CUGGCCUGUGUACAUGUUCUGUCAAAUAUCGCGAGACUAACGCCGAACACUGAAGAAUCAGAGGGUUGGUGUGGAAUAGCUUAGCUUAGCAGUGCAAAAACACAAUUAGCCAAGAUACCGGAAGGCUGAUAGGCGAGUUGGAGUUUUAGUCAACGCGUUACCCUAGCAACGAGAAAUCGUCAACCGUAGAACUGAUGUAAAACUCAGAAGUCGUCUUCUUUGCUUCAGUUCAUCCACGUCUAUGUCCAUCCGGAUGAUUUGAAGUUGUGUCCACAAUAAAACACAACAUGAGAUUCAAAACAUCUCUGCUAAAGGAGCCAA
Long non-coding RNA from Trichomycterus rosablanca, 321 nucleotides. RefSeq lists it as uncharacterized. NCBI's taxonomy places the organism in Eukaryota, Metazoa, Chordata, Actinopteri, Siluriformes, Trichomycteridae. The record is from RefSeq and is a predicted model, not a curated record. The transcript has 3 exons.